This 334-nucleotide unclassified non-coding RNA is filed under the name soil metagenome. Its description in RNAcentral is "partial contains 5.8S ribosomal RNA, internal transcribed spacer 2, and large subunit ribosomal RNA". The stretch from base 1 to 120 matches the Rfam family "5.8S ribosomal RNA", at positions 35 to 154 of the family's 154-position model. The record is from RNAcentral.
GAUGAAGAACGCAGCGAAAUGCGAUAAGUAAUGUGAAUUGCAGAAUUCAGUGAAUCAUCGAAUCUUUGAACGCACAUUGCGCCCGCCAGUAUUCUGGCGAGCAUGCCUGUUCGAGCGUCAUUUCAACCAUCAAGCCCCAGGCUUGUGUUGGAGCCCUGCGGCUGCCGCAGCCUCCCAAAACCAGUGGCGGGCUCGCUAUCACACCGAGUGCAGUAGUUUACUCUUCGCUCAGGGCGUGUGGCGGGUGCUAGCCGUGAAACCCCCAACUUCUCAAGGUUGACCUCGGAUCAGGUAGGAAUACCCGCUGAACUUAAGCAUAUCAAUAAGCGGGGGA